RNA transcript from Chelonia mydas (Green sea turtle), 1938 nucleotides. It is a transcript of the gene named ADP ribosylation factor like GTPase 6, with no coding region annotated. NCBI's taxonomy places the organism in Eukaryota, Metazoa, Chordata, Testudines, Cheloniidae. The transcript has 7 exons. The record is from RefSeq and is a predicted model, not a curated record.
CAUUGAAUCAGAAUCAUGGGAUUGUUUGAUAAGCUAGCAGGAUGGCUUGGUCUGAAGAAGAAGGAGGUUCAUGUUUUGUGCCUUGGGUUGGACAAUAGUGGCAAAACAACUAUCAUUAAUAAACUUAAACCUUCAAAUGCUCAAACUCAAGACAUAGUUCCAACAAUAGGAUUCAGUAUAGAAAAAUUCAAGACAUCCAGUUUGUCUUUCACAGUGUUUGACAUGUCAGGUCAAGGCAGAUACAGAAACCUGUGGGAACAUUACUACAAAGAAGGCCAGGCCAUUAUUUUUGUCAUUGAUAGCAGUGAUAAAUUAAGAAUGGUUGUGGCCAAAGAAGAACUUGACACCCUCCUGACUCAUCCAGAUAUCAAACACCGUAGAAUACCUAUCUUGUUCUUUGCUAACAAGAUGGACCUCAGGGAUGCAGUAUCAUCUGUGAAAGUCUCUCAGUUACUGUCUUUAGAGAACAUCAAAGAUAAACCAUGGCAUAUCUGGAAGAAUACCAUGAAUGAAUACCAUGAAGCUGGCAACAUUGGGGAUUCCCUGGCCUGGUCACCAGUGCAGGGAUUGGAUUAAGUGGCUCAAGACCGACCACCUGGAAGCCAGGGAUGAGAACAUCACCUCUGUCAUCCUGCCUUGCUUACAAGGAGUUUGUCAAGGUGCUGGAUAUUGUGCUGAGCAUGGAGCCAGCAGUACUUCACAGUGCCCUGAUCAGCUGGGAUGGUGACCUUCUGACCCCGAAUCCAGUAUAGGACUGGAGGGGAGUCAGUAGGUGCUGGAUCAGGCUGAUGAAGUGACAGUGGUGCUGGAACUGGUCCUGGAGGAGGCUUUGCCAAUGAAGCAGCUGCAGCAUAUCCUGAGUCCUUCCUCAGAGGAGUUUUUUGAUGCCCCCCCAAGGAGCAGUCUGCUGCAGAACUGGCAGGAAAACCGGAAGAGACAGAACUCAGCCUGGAACUUGUACUUAUAUUGGCUGUUGUACCUUGGUAGCUUUCGCUCACUCCACUGGAAGCCUGGGUUUCCAUACCAUCAUACACCAGUCCUAGAGGAAGCAUUCCCAUGAUGAAUUUAUUGUUGACAUUCUGGACAGGGACAACAAAUAGGUGCAAUACCAAAGAGAGAAGAAUUCACUUAAAGUGGAGAGGCAAGUGGAAAGGCACAGGCAGGCUGCAGAGAUGAGGACAGAAUUACAGCGUGGGAGCAGAUACUUGCAUCGCAGUUCCUGGAAGAGGAACGUUGGUUAAGGGUGGAAGACUGAGUGUAGCAGAACGACCAGUUUGACUAAUGGCUGCUUUUGCUAAUAGUUGCAAGAGUGCAGGCUCCUGCCAUGCUUAUACUGUGACCUGAGUCUCCUUCAUGGUACCUUUCUCAGAGUAGCAGCCGUGUUAGUCUGUAUCCGCAAAAAGAAAAGGAGUACUUGUGGCUGAAGUGAGCUGUAGCUCACGAAAGCUUAUGCUCUAAUAAAUUUGUUAGUCUCUAAGGUGCCACAAGUACUCCUUUUCUUUCUUCAUGGUACCGUGUGCUGCAUACCAGGGUCUCUUUGAACAAUUUCAUGAUUGGCUGGCCCAUGCAACUGGGACUUAAUAGCAGCUGAACUGGGCAAAUCUACCCCUGCAUACUUCCACCCCGUGCAGACCUUCUUCUCCCUCUUGCAGGCCGCCACUCUCCCGCAGGCCUCUAUGCCCAUGCAGCAAUGGCAAGUGAGUGGUAAAUGCACAAGAGAGGAAGAAGAAAACUUGCCAGGUGACACACACAAUUGGAGGAUUUUUCUGACGGCACUGUUUGCAUUGUUCAGUGUUGAAUGCACUUUGUUUUAUUACUGGUUGUGGUAUUGGUUUAUUACUGUUGUUUCAGUAUUCUAAUGGUAGCAAGCCUGCCUGGCAAUACUUUAAUAUUGUUAUUUUUAUAAUACAAAUAAAGGCUUUUAUUUUAUUUAAAAAA